GUCCAAAGCCUUUAAUCUCAUCUGUAAUUCUUCUAAACUUAGAUUCUUCAAAAAAUCAAAAUCUCCAUCUUGAGGGACUUUCCAGUUAUCGGGGAAAACAUUUUUAGAUAUGUGGUAAGGUUCGUGCAUGUUCUGAUUACAGUUUUCAGGGCUUUUAUUCUUAGAAUCCUGUUUAUCAAAGUAGUCCAUGAAAGAAGGUCUUUGAACUUGAGGUGAAGUAGCAUUUCUUUUCAUGGUCCCAUCUUCCUCUUCGUCAUCGUCACUAUUUAUUACCAUGGUCCCCAGGUCUGACUCUAGCAUGGUACUGUUGUGUUCAAUCAUUGUCUGAGCACCUUCACUCAUUGUGCUUGUGGCCCGCAUGGUACUAGCACUCUCUGAAUUGGUCUUCACCAUGGUGUGCGAGUCCAGCUCAUCUUCAUCCGAAUUUUCCUCCUCUUCUUCUAGUUCCCUCUGCUGCUCCUCAUGUCGUUUUGCC
Molecule: long non-coding RNA, 475 nt
Filed under: Gallus gallus (chicken)
Lineage: Eukaryota; Metazoa; Chordata; Aves; Galliformes; Phasianidae
Source: RNAcentral